UGCAGGCAACAGGGGCUUCAUGUCUGUGA
This 29-nucleotide non-coding RNA is filed under the name Homo sapiens (human). The record is from RNAcentral. Lineage: Eukaryota; Metazoa; Chordata; Mammalia; Primates; Hominidae.